Molecule: RNA transcript, 1715 nt
Organism: Brassica oleracea var. oleracea
Lineage: Eukaryota; Viridiplantae; Streptophyta; Magnoliopsida; Brassicales; Brassicaceae
Gene name: dof zinc finger protein DOF1.4-like
Exons: 3
Source: RefSeq, a predicted model, not a curated record
CAAGAAUCUUUGUGCUUCAAUCUUUGAAAGUUAAAACAGUAAUAAUAGCUUCAGUGGCCAACAGCUCUUUGUCUGUACACUGCUGGUUUCAUAAGGAUUCUCUUUUAAAGAAGUGAAGAAACAAAGAAAGAAAACAAAAUCAAAAGAGCUUAAUCAAGAAAGAUAUGUUUGGCAAUUGUGACCAGAAGAAGAAGAUGCCUAGCAUCAGCUCUCCCAAUACCAUUCCACUGGCGAGUAUGCAGAGCAAGAACAUGAUUGUGGCUCCGUCUCAUAAGCAGCAGCAACAACAGCAAGCGCAUCAACCGCAACCACAACUUAAAUGCCCUCGUUGUGAUUCUUCUAACACAAAGUUCUGUUACUACAACAACUACAGCCUCUCUCAGCCGCGGCACUUUUGCAAGGCUUGCAAGAGGUAUUGGACACGAGGUGGGACCCUCCGUAACGUUCCCGUAGGCGGUAGCUACCGGAAAAAUAAACGUGUGAAGCGGCCAGCAACCGCUGCCUCCACGGUCUCGAAGACUACUUCUUCAUCCCCUAAUCAUCAGAUCUCCCAUUUCUCUUCCAUGAAUCAUCAUCCCAUGCUCUAUGGUUUAUCAGAUCAUGUGAACAGUUGUAAUAGUCUUCCAAUGAUUCCAAGCCGGUUCAAUGAUUCUUCAAAGACUUCAUCAAGUGGUUUAGAGAGUGAGUUUUUCUCAUCUGGUUUUAGUGGCCUAGGUGCUCUUGGUCUAGGGUUUCCACAUCAUAUGAGUCAUGACCACACCGCCAUUAACGGUGGCUUCAUCGACAACUCUACCGCAAACAAACCCUUUCUUCUCUCGGGGCUAUUUGGGUCCUCGGUAUCUUCAUCUUCCUCUAAUCUUGUCCAGCAUCCACACAAACCCAUGAACAAUGGUGGUGAGAUGAUGGGACAAUCCCAUCUCCAAACCCUAGCAUCCCUUCAAGAUCUGCAUGUUGGAGGUAACAAUGAAGAUGUGAACAAAGAAGGGAAGCUUGGUCAGAUCUCAGGGACCAUUAGUGGAUUCAUGUCACCAUCCUCUUUAGAUCCUUCAAACUACAACAACAUAUGGAAUAAUGCGAGUGUUGUCAAUGGAGAAUGGCUUGAUUCGACAAAUAAUAACGUUGGAUCCUCCCUUACCUCCUUGAUAUAAACCAAAAUUAACUUAUUGCUUAUAGAAUCUAUUACUAGCUGGGGUUUCAUCUUCAUCACUUUUUUUUCUUUGCGUUUUGAGAUGAGAGAAGAAGCUUGGAUCAGAGAGAUAAAAUCAGGGGAAAUGUUGAUGUUAGCUUCUAUAAACUCCCUCGGAUCCUCUUCAUCUCAACAUCUUCAUCCCGCGUUGUUCAAGAAAAACAAAAGAGCGCUCAAGAUUGGUUGAAGGUUAACUAUGUUCGACUGUUAUGUUCACUCGAGUUUUGGUCCAGGGCUUGGAGUUUAUUGAUGCGUCAUUAUAAAGUGGGCACGAGUUCGUUACCAGCUUCUGCAUGUCAUUUUCUCUGCAAUGAUUCUUUUCGUGCAAGUAUUGGAGAUAGAUUUAUUCGUUAAAGAUUUGGGUCGGCAGACUCGGUACCGUGUGGACCAAGAACUUUAUUACCUUUGUGUGGAUAAUUUAUGGAUCAAAAUCAAUUAUCAAACGAAAGAAUGUUAUUAACACGUAUACUGUCGUCUGACAUUCUAGCUUAUGGACACAUCAGACGAGAACUUGACCUGAUUAUUUUCA